AUGCUCAGGAGGCAUAUAGGAGACGGUUUAUGGCGGAUCAGGCUGGGACUUCUCGACAAGGUGGAGCUGGUGAUGAGGAUGAUGAUGAUCGGGACUGAUUUUAUUUUUUUAACAUU
This is a long non-coding RNA of Asparagus officinalis (garden asparagus), 116 nucleotides long. RefSeq lists it as uncharacterized. The record is from RefSeq and is a predicted model, not a curated record. NCBI's taxonomy places the organism in Eukaryota, Viridiplantae, Streptophyta, Magnoliopsida, Asparagales, Asparagaceae. The transcript has 2 exons.